UACAGAGGGGGCGAGCGUUAUUCGGAAUUACUGGGCGUAAAGCGUGCGCAGGCGGUUGUGCAAGACAGGUGUGAAAUCCCCGGGCUUAACCUGGGAACUGCACUUGUGACUGCACGGCUGGAGUACGGCAGAGGGGGAUGGAAUUCCGCGUGUAGCAGUGAAAUGCGUAGAUAUGCGGAGGAACACCGAUGGCGAAGGCAGUCCCCUGGGCCUGUACUGACGCUCAUGCACGAAAGCGUGGGGAGCAAACAGG
This 253-nucleotide ribosomal RNA is filed under the name uncultured bacterium. RNAcentral describes it as "partial 16S ribosomal RNA". It matches the Rfam family "Bacterial small subunit ribosomal RNA", at positions 524 to 776 of the family's 1533-position model. The record is from RNAcentral.